ACGCUCGACACCUACGGGAGGCAGCAGUGGGGAAUAUUGCACAAUGGGCGAAAGCCUGAUGCAGCAACGCCGCGUGAGCGAAGAAGGCCUUCGGGUCGUAAAGCUCUGUCCUCAAGGAAGAUAAUGACGGUACUUGAGGAGGAAGCCCCGGCUAACUACGUGCUAGCAGCCGCGGUAAUCUGAGCGGGCUGGCAAGGC
RNAcentral lists this ribosomal RNA (198 nucleotides) under uncultured bacterium. RNAcentral's name for it is "partial 16S ribosomal RNA". It matches the Rfam family "Bacterial small subunit ribosomal RNA", at positions 328 to 539 of the family's 1533-position model. The record is from RNAcentral.